Molecule: small RNA, 923 nt
Filed under: Pan troglodytes (chimpanzee)
Lineage: Eukaryota; Metazoa; Chordata; Mammalia; Primates; Hominidae
Description: processed transcript
Source: RNAcentral
ACAAACCACGUGGCUUCAAGCAACAGAAGUCUAUUCCCUCAACGUCCUGGGGGUCAGCAGUCCACAACCACAGUGUGGGCCGGGCCGUGCUCCUGCCAAAGGCUCUGGGGCGGAUCCUUCCUGCUCUUCCAGCUUCCGGGGGCUUCUGGCGCUCCUCAGCUGUGGCCUGGUUGUCACCUGGCUCGGUACGUGGAGCAGUAUGUGGGGACCGAGGGCGCGUCCAGCUCGCCCACCGAGGGCUUCCUCCUGAAACCUGUGUUCCUGCAGAGGAACCUCAAGAAGUUCCGCCGCCGGUGGCAGAGCGAGCAGGCGCGGGCCCUGCGCGGUGAGGCCAGGAGCUCCUGGAAGCGGCUGGUGGGCGUGGAGAGCGCCUGCGACGUGGACUGCCGCUUCAAGCUCAGCACUCACAAGAUGGUGUUCAUCGUGAACUCCGAGGACUACAUGUACCGUCGCGGGACCCUCUGCCGGGCCAAGCAGGUGCAGCCCCUGGUCCUGCUCCGCCACCACCAGCACUUUGAGGAGUGGCACAGCCGCUGGCUGGAGGACAAUGUGACGGUGGAGGCGGCUAGCCUGGUGCAGGACUGGCUGAUGGGUGAGGAGGACGAGGACAUGGUACCCUGCAAGACGCUAUGUGAGACAGUGCACGUGCACGGCCUGCCCGUGACCCGCUACCGCGUGCAGUACAGCCGCCGCCCGGCCUCGCCCUGACCCGCCCUCGUGGGCACCGGGCAGGUGCCUCACAGAGCACAGACGUGCCCUCGGCCUUGGUCGUGUUGGGGCCGUUUUCUUGAACGACCUGAGAGGCAUCUCCCAGCCCCUCUGCUGCCGGACAGCGCCCUUCAGGGCAGGACGCCGCCCCCGUGGCUCCCGGUCUCCUGUGGGCCUGCUGUGUGCCAAACCUGAGCUACCUGCACCCGAGCCCU